RNAcentral lists this ribosomal RNA (686 nucleotides) under uncultured bacterium. RNAcentral describes it as "bacterial SSU rRNA". It matches the Rfam family "Bacterial small subunit ribosomal RNA", at positions 54 to 745 of the family's 1533-position model. The record is from RNAcentral.
CAUGCAAGUCGAGCGAGAAAGUGACUUCGGUCGCGAGUAAAGCGGCGAACGGGUGAGUACAACGUGGAUAAUCUACCCUAAGGUCCGGGACAACCCCGAGAAAUCGGAGCUAAUACCGGAUAAGACCACAGUAUCCAAGGAUACAGCGGUAAAAGAUUUAUCGCCUUUGGAUGAGUCCACGCCCCAUCAGGUAGUUGGUAAGGUAAAAGCUUACCAAGCCUAAGACGGGUAGCCGGCCUUAGCGGGUGAACGGCCACAUGGGGACCGAGACACGGCCCUGACUCCUACGGGAGGCAGCAGUGGGGAAUAUUGGGCAAUGGGCGAAAGCCUGACCCAGCGAUGCCGCGUGAGGGAUGAAGGCCUUCGGGUCGUAAACCUCUGUCAGGAGGGACGAUGGGACACUUGUGUCUUGACGGUACCUCCAGAGGAAGCCCCGGCUAACUCCGUGCCAGCAGCCGCGGUAAUACGGAGGGGGCAAGCGUUGCUCGGAAUUACUGGGCGUAAAGGGUCCGCAGGCUGUCAGGCAAGUUGGUUGUGAAAGCUCAAGGCUUAACCUUGGAAUUGCACCCAAAACUGCCUGACUAGAGUCCAAGAGAGGUUGGCGGAAUUCCCGGUGUAGCGGUGAAAUGCAUAGAUAUCGGGAGGAACACCAGAGGCGAAGGCGGCCAACUGGCUUGGAACUGACG